GAGGGUAUAGCUCAGUGGUAGAGCUCAUGCUUAGCAGGCGUGAGGUCCUGGGUCCGAUACCCAGUACCUCCA
Camelus ferus (Wild Bactrian camel) is the source of this 72-nucleotide transfer RNA. It matches the Rfam family "tRNA". Rfam says of the family: Transfer RNA (tRNA) molecules are approximately 80 nucleotides in length. Their secondary structure includes four short double-helical elements and three loops (D, anti-codon, and T loops). Further hydrogen bonds mediate the characteristic L-shaped molecular structure. tRNAs have two regions of fundamental functional importance: the anti-codon, which is responsible for specific mRNA codon recognition, and the 3' end, to which the tRNAs corresponding amino acid is attached (by aminoacyl-tRNA synthetases). tRNAs cope with the degeneracy of the genetic code in two manners: having more than one tRNA (with a specific anti-codon) for a particular amino acid; and 'wobble' base-pairing, i.e. permitting non-standard base-pairing at the 3rd anti-codon position. The record is from Rfam. Lineage: Eukaryota; Metazoa; Chordata; Mammalia; Artiodactyla; Camelidae.